ACGGAGGAUCCAAGCGUUAUCCGGAUUUACUGGGUUUAAAGGGUGCGUAGGCGGAUUGAUAAGUCAGUGGUGAAAGCCUACAGCUUAACUGUAGAACUGCCACUGAUACUGCCAGUCUGGAGUAUGGUUGAGGUAGCUAGAAUGUGUCGUGUAGCGGUGAAAUGCGUAGAGAUGAGGCGGAACACCAGUGGCGAAGGCAGGUUACCGGACCAUUACUGACGCUGAGGUGCGAAAGCGUGGGGAGCAAACAG
RNAcentral lists this ribosomal RNA (251 nucleotides) under uncultured prokaryote. RNAcentral describes it as "partial 16S rRNA". It matches the Rfam family "Bacterial small subunit ribosomal RNA", at positions 525 to 775 of the family's 1533-position model. The record is from RNAcentral.